UACGAAGGGUGCGAGCGUUAAUCGGAAUUACUGGGCGUAAAGAGCACGUAGGCGGUUUGUUGCGUCGGCUGUGAAAUCCCGAGGCUCAACCUCGGGUCUGCAGUCGAUACGAGCAAACUAGAGUGUUGCAGGGGAGACUGGAAUUCCUGGUGUAGCGGUGAAAUGCGCAGAUAUCAGGAGGAACACCGGUGGCGAAGGCGGGUCUCUGGGCAACAACUGACGCUGAGGAGCGAAAGCGUGGGGAGCGAACAGG
This 253-nucleotide ribosomal RNA is filed under the name uncultured bacterium. Its description in RNAcentral is "partial 16S ribosomal RNA". It matches the Rfam family "Bacterial small subunit ribosomal RNA", at positions 524 to 776 of the family's 1533-position model. The record is from RNAcentral.